Molecule: microRNA precursor, 83 nt
Filed under: Eptesicus fuscus (big brown bat)
Lineage: Eukaryota; Metazoa; Chordata; Mammalia; Chiroptera; Vespertilionidae
Description: microRNA efu-mir-9334 precursor
Source: miRBase by way of RNAcentral
GGGACGAGGCGCGCUCCCGGUCCCGCUCGCGCCGGGACACCGCCGUGUUGGUGGAGCGAGAGCGGGACCGCGACUCCCGCCGC